RNAcentral lists this transfer RNA (88 nucleotides) under Henningerozyma blattae CBS 6284. RNAcentral's name for it is "Tetrapisispora blattae CBS 6284 tRNA". It matches the Rfam family "tRNA". From Rfam's summary of the family: Transfer RNA (tRNA) molecules are approximately 80 nucleotides in length. Lineage: Eukaryota; Fungi; Ascomycota; Saccharomycetes; Saccharomycetales; Saccharomycetaceae. The record is from Rfam by way of RNAcentral.
GGGCGUGUGGUCUAGUGGUAUGAUUCUCGCUUUGGGUUGUUUAACACAAGUAUGCGAGAGGCCCUGGGUUCAAUUCCCAGCUCGCCCC